Columba livia (rock pigeon) is the source of this 356-nucleotide long non-coding RNA. RefSeq lists it as uncharacterized. NCBI's taxonomy places the organism in Eukaryota, Metazoa, Chordata, Aves, Columbiformes, Columbidae. The record is from RefSeq and is a predicted model, not a curated record. The transcript is spliced from 3 exons.
UCAUUGCCUUUGUAAUUAAUGGUGUUCCAAGUUUUUGCGUGGGCAUGAGAGUCUCAGCUUUCCUGAACCAUUCGAGUCCACUUCCAGCUUUCAUGGCUGCAGAGGAAACCAUGUGAAUUGGAGCCCCUUAUCUUUUCCAGCAAUCCUGCGUGACAAAGGAGGACGAUGUUUAAUGUGGCUGGGUCUGGCUGUUGACUGAAGUCUGCAGGGAUACCUCUGGCAGCGUAAUUGCCACUGCUUCCCAUCCAAAGCCGGGAGAAGGGAGCUGUAGCUGACUGCUGGCCUUGGCAGUGGUGCCAGAACGGCCUUUUCUGGCGAGAAGUGGCAUCAGCAUAAACCCGUCAAUUCUCGUCUCA